Molecule: ribosomal RNA, 491 nt
Filed under: uncultured bacterium
Lineage: Bacteria
Description: bacterial SSU rRNA
Rfam family: Bacterial small subunit ribosomal RNA
Source: RNAcentral
AAAUGAAUUGACGGGGGCCCGCACAAGCAGUGGAGUAUGUGGUUUAAUUCGAAGCAACGCGAAGAACCUUACCAGGUCUUGACAUCCGACUAACGAAGCAGAGAUGCAUCAGGUGCCCUUCGGGGAAAGUCGAGACAGGUGGUGCAUGGUUGUCGUCAGCUCGUGUCGUGAGAUGUUGGGUUAAGUCCCGCAACGAGCGCAACCCUUGUCAUUAGUUGCUACGCGAGAGCACUCUAAUGAGACUGCCGUUGACAAAACGGAGGAAGGUGGGGACGACGUCAAAUCAUCAUGCCCUUUAUGACCUGGGCUACACACGUACUACAAUGGCCGCUAACAACGGGAAGCAAGAGCGCGAGCUGGAGCAAAUCCCCAAAAGCGGUCUCAGUUCAGAUUGCAGGCUGCAACCCGCCUGCAUGAAGUCGGAAUUGCUAGUAAUCGCAGAUCAGCAUGCUGCGGUGAAUACGUUCCCGGGCCUUGUACACACCGCCCGU